Molecule: ribosomal RNA, 294 nt
Filed under: Escherichia coli
Lineage: Bacteria; Pseudomonadati; Pseudomonadota; Gammaproteobacteria; Enterobacterales; Enterobacteriaceae
Description: partial 16S ribosomal RNA
Rfam family: Bacterial small subunit ribosomal RNA
Source: RNAcentral
GAGUAAUGUCUGGGAAACUGCCUGAUGGAGGGGGAUAACUACUGGAAACGGUAGCUAAUACCGCAUAACGUCGCAAGACCAAAGAGGGGGACCUUCGGGCCUCUUGCCAUCGGAUGUGCCCAGAUGGGAUUAGCUAGUAGGUGGGGUAACGGCUCACCUAGGCGACGAUCCCUAGCUGGUCUGAGAGGAUGACCAGCCACACUGGAACUGAGACACGGUCCAGACUCCUACGGGAGGCAGCAGUGGGGAAUAUUGCACAAUGGGCGCAAGCCUGAUGCAGCCAUGCCGCGUGUA